Molecule: small RNA, 627 nt
Filed under: Pan troglodytes (chimpanzee)
Lineage: Eukaryota; Metazoa; Chordata; Mammalia; Primates; Hominidae
Description: retained intron
Source: RNAcentral
GGUGAUCGGGGACUUGAUGCAGAGAAUCCAGAGGGUACCCCAGUUCCCAGGCAAGCUGCUCCUGGUGCGCAAGCAGUUGACGGGCCAGGCUCCUGGGGAGCAGCUGGACCACCAGACCCUCCUCCAGGGCGUGGUGGUGCUGGAGGAGUUCUGCAAGGAGCUGGCUGCCAUUGCCUUCGUCAAGUUUCCCCCACAUGAUCCUCGCCAGAACGUCUCCCCAGCCCCGGAAGGGCAGGUCUGAGCCAGGACCAGGGCGGUGGGAGACUCCUGUCCACACCUCUGCCCCAGAGCUGCCUCCUGCCUGGCACUGCCGCCACACUCCCCUCCUGGGAUGGGGCUUCUGCUCCCGGGCUCACUCAAGGAGACUGCGGCAUGUUGACCACACCAGACUGGGUUUCAGGGAAUGGGCAUGCCAGGUGCCAAGGAGCCAAACAGAUGGCUUUCCAGGCAGCAAGGUCCUUGGGGCCUUCUUGGAGGAGCUUGGGUGACAGCCAGGUGAGCACCCAGACCCCAGACCCUCAUGUGCUGUGUGCCUGGCCCCUUCUGUACUGGCCAUUUGUGGCCAGGGCCAAGCCUGUGACUCAACUCCAGGGUCAAGAUGGGGAGUGAGCUGAUGGCUCCGAGACU